CACAAGGCUCUGACGAGCUCCACUCCUUGAGGGGGACAAUGGAAGAACUGUCCGUGGCCCUUGGGCAGGAGAAGGCCAAACUACAGUGACUGAAGAUUUAGCUGGCCUACGAGCAGCAGGCGAUCAAGGAUGCUGAGGCAGAGUCCGAGGUUCUGAAGAAGAGGCUUCGGGACUCAGAGGGUGAAAGCUGGUGGUUCCACCAGAUGUACCAGGAGAUGCUUUUAAGAAAGAAGAAACUGAAAAAAGAAGUCGAAAACUUAAAGCAAUCCCUGAC
RNAcentral lists this long non-coding RNA (274 nucleotides) under Elaeis guineensis (African oil palm). RNAcentral describes it as "long non-coding RNA (EGUI_LNC002300)". The record is from RNAcentral. Lineage: Eukaryota; Viridiplantae; Streptophyta; Magnoliopsida; Arecales; Arecaceae.